This 2121-nucleotide long non-coding RNA is filed under the name Homo sapiens (human). RNAcentral describes it as "HSALNT0162040". The record is from RNAcentral. Lineage: Eukaryota; Metazoa; Chordata; Mammalia; Primates; Hominidae.
AGGGCACUGGGGUGUUCCCUAGCUGGGCUGGACCCACAGGCCCCAAUAAAGCACUUCAGGUUAGAAAGCCUAGCAAAAGGACAGGCUUGGUUCAGAGUCACCUGUUGCCUAUUACAAUGAAGUUAGAUGUCUCCUGACCUCAGCCCAUCCCCUGUUGGAUAAAAAGUUUCUGCUUCAGUCUUGCUGUCCACGCCCGUGGAAGAAACUACAAUAGGGGAUUUACUCUCCUGGCCCAAAUCAGGUCGAGCUUCUGGGCCUCCCUACUCCAUGCUGGGGGAUACUGGACAUUCAGAGUGCCUUUCUGUCAGCCCCGCAACACAGCCCCACUGGGGUGGCUGACUGUGCUGACCUUGUGUCUCUGAGCUCAAUUUCAACUGGGGUGUAUCUGAGGGUUAGUCUUCAGAGAACUUGGAAUGAGCAGGGCUUGGAAGCAAUGGAAUCCCAGAAGUAUGGAACACACACAUCACCCAGAUUCUGACUUCUAAUACCAGUCUCUAAAGAAAGGAACAAGACAUCCUGGCAGAUACUGUGGAUUCUAGGGCUGGGCAGGGCAUAUAGAAGAAGAGCCUGGCAUGUCUCAUAGUGCCAGAAUUGGACAUUUUCCCUACUAUGAAGCACAAGCAAGCAAAAUUGUGUUUUCAACAGGCAAUGUCUGUGCAUUGCCUCUUGUUGAGGGCACCCCAAAGUACGUUGAACCAGCAGAGGGAAGAUGUCAGGGAAAGGCCGUGUCCUGGUGGAGGAUGAGGUGGGUGACCCCAGAUGUCAGAGGACAGGAGGCAGAGCAGAUCCACCAAACCUGCUGAGAGGGACCACCCAUUCUGCCCUGCUGUCUCCUGCAGCCAGGGCCAGAUGGCAGAGGCUGUGCUUUCUUCCUCUGGAACAGAGCUGGGACCAGCGAGGUGAAGGGUCUCACUGAGGUCAUUCAACUACAAAAUGCCAGAGCAGGAGUGGAGGCCAAGUCCCCAGGCUCCAAUUCAUGACCUCAAGACCCUGGCAACCACCAUUCUCCUUCCUGCAUCUGUGAAUUUGAUUAGGUACCUCAUGUAAGUGGAAUCAUGCAGUAUGCAUCCUUUCAUAAAUGACUGAUUUAACUUAGCAUAAUGUCUUCAAGGUUCAUGCAUGUUGCAGCAUGUGUCAGAAUUUCACUCCUUUUUAAAGGUAAAUAAUAUUCUAUUGUAUGUUUAUACCACAUUUUAUUUAUAUAUCAUUUGUUGAUGAACACUUGGGUUGCUUCUUCCUUUGGCUUUUUAAAUACUGCUGCUCUGAACAUGUGUGUGCAAAUAUCUGUUCAAGUCCUUGCUUAUUUUUAAUUCUUUUGGGUAUAUACCCGGAAGUGGAAUUGUGGGAUUAUAUGGUAAUUCUGUUUCUAGUUUUUUGAGGAACUGCCAUACUGUUUUCCACAGCAGUUGCCACAUUCUACAUUCCCACCAGCAGGGCACAAGAGUUCCAAUUUCUCCACAUCCUCACGAUUACUUGUUAUUUAUUUAUAUAUUUUUUUGCUAAUAGCCAUACCAAUGGGUGUGAAGUUCACCUUUUUCAUGUGUUGCAAGAAUUUACUUUUACAUGUUAAUUCAUUUAUGCAUUUGAUGUCUUUUUUCCCCCAUCAUGUAUUACAGUAGGUUUAUCUGAACAUCUUGCCCAACCUUUCUUCAGCACUCUGCCAAGUAUUCUGGAUUUUCACAUUUCUGACCACUGCAUCCUAAAAAUUUCUACAGCUCAACUGUAUAUUUGCAGAACACAGCACAAUUAAAAGUCAAGAAGGAGGAGACAGUAAAGGACGAUGAGCAAGUAUGAAGAGAUUCUUCCUUCCCACACUGAGUGCUGUGGUCAGUGCCCCUGUGUCUGUGAGCCAGGUGCCGACUCCCACCCAGUACUCUGGUGAUAUCUGCUGGCCUCCGUGAUUGCUGCUUCGUGAGGUUUCAUUGCUGGGAGGUCUGUGAGCUUCCGGAGGAAGUGGAGGGCCACUUACCAAUCUGUCUGUGAUGCAAACUCACUGGAUGUGCAGUGUCCACCGGGUCCCCUCUGUAUCCUCUCAAUGGAAUUUUUGGGGGGCAAAGGGAAUGGAUUCUAAUGUCAUGUUUCUUGCUGUACUGUAAGGAAUAAAGUCUUUUGUCUCUGACU